This 67-nucleotide transfer RNA is filed under the name Laparocerus freyi. Its description in RNAcentral is "tRNA-Leu". It matches the Rfam family "tRNA". Rfam says of the family: Transfer RNA (tRNA) molecules are approximately 80 nucleotides in length. Their secondary structure includes four short double-helical elements and three loops (D, anti-codon, and T loops). The record is from RNAcentral. Lineage: Eukaryota; Metazoa; Arthropoda; Insecta; Coleoptera; Curculionidae.
AUUAUUUUGGCAGAAUAGUGCAAUAGAUUUAGAAUCUUUUUAUGUAAAUAUUUAUUUACAAAUAAUA